AAAAAGGUUUUUUUCAAAAUCAUUAAUACUUUUUAACACAGUGCCU
Acyrthosiphon pisum (pea aphid) is the source of this 46-nucleotide non-coding RNA. Lineage: Eukaryota; Metazoa; Arthropoda; Insecta; Hemiptera; Aphididae. The record is from Rfam.